GAUGAACGCUGGCGGCGUGCCUAAUACAUGCAAGUCGAGCGAACAGAUGAGGAGCUUGCUCCUCUGACGUUAGCGGCGGACGGGUGAGUAACACGUGGAUAACCUACCUAUAAGACUGGGAUAACUACGGGAAACCGGAUCUAAUACCGGAUAAUAUAUUGAACCGCAUGGUUCAAUAGUGAAAGACGGUUGUGCGGUCACUUAUAGAUGGAUCCGCGCCGCAUUAGCUAGUUGGUAAGGUAACGGCUUACCAAGGCAACGAUGCGUAGCCGACCUGAGGGGGUGAUCGGCCACACUGGAACUGAGACACGGUCCAGACUCCUACGGGAGGCAGCAGUAGGGAAUCUUCCGCAAUGGGCGAAAGCCUGACGGAGCAACGCCGCGUGAGUGAUGAAGGUCUUCGGAUCGUAAAACUCUGUUAUUAGGGAAGAACAAAUGUGUAAGUAACUAUGCACGUCUUGACGGUACCUAAUCAGAAAGCCACGGCUAACUACGUG
Molecule: ribosomal RNA, 497 nt
Filed under: uncultured bacterium
Lineage: Bacteria
Description: partial 16S ribosomal RNA
Rfam family: Bacterial small subunit ribosomal RNA
Source: RNAcentral